CAUCGGAAGUUUUAUUCCGAAGUUCGGUUCAAGGCCCGUCCCCCGCCUCACCGAACAGGCGGCAGCCUAAUCCCCCCUCUCCGGGCUGCCGCAAGCUUAAAGUGCGGCCACCGUGGUAUCCCCCUCCACCACGGUGGCCUUUU
This 143-nucleotide small RNA is filed under the name Aquibium oceanicum. RNAcentral describes it as "Mesorhizobium sp. B7 Alphaproteobacterial sRNA ar7". It matches the Rfam family "Alphaproteobacterial sRNA ar7". The record is from Rfam by way of RNAcentral. Lineage: Bacteria; Pseudomonadati; Pseudomonadota; Alphaproteobacteria; Hyphomicrobiales; Phyllobacteriaceae.